GCAAAAAAAUGCAGAAUCGUUAUUAAACAUAGACAGGCGUGGCGAUGAAUCGAAGGAAAUGAUACGUACGAGAGUCGCGAAGGCAAACCAAUGAUGAAGGAUUGAAAAAGCGUCAUGGACAAUUAGUCGAGCUUUCUAAUACAAUCGAAGAAGCGUUAUCGAAAAUCCGCGCGACAAUUCCGUUAGCGAGGCUCUACGUGCUCGUCUCCCGCCAUUGAGAUUAAUCCACCGAUAACGAAUCCCUACGUGAGAAUCAUUCGAAAUGACCGAAUUAUUAGCGGGACGUGUCCUGCGUCGUUCGAAAGAAACGCUCGAGAUUUUUUCUAGACGAAACCUAUUUGAGAUUCGAUUAAUCGAACGGAAAUAUUUUACUCCGCAGCAAGUUUACGUUAUGUGUUCAUCCCGAUUUAGCUGAGUUAGCUUUGUCGUUCCCCAGUUUUACAGCAUUUUUCAUUUAACGAUGAAAUCGCAAAAGACCUUCCUCCCGAAAGCAAUAUGCUAUAUUUUUUUAAUCCGUCGUAAAUUCACCUGAGAUCGUUCGAAGCGAAUUCUUUUCCCAAUUAAUUUUUUAAGUAAUUAUAGAGCGCACCACUUGUUCCCUAACACCACGUAUUUUUCAAUAGAUUACAGUGAAACCAUAACUUAAAAUUUCUCAUCAGAAUCCCGUUAUAAUUUUCUUCGACAGUUAAGAGAAAGAAAAAGAGAGAUAGAUUAAUUAAACAUUUAUUGUUGUCCUAGAACAUGCCUUCUAAGAAUAUACAUAUAAAAAUUUUAAAAACAAUAAAUAAAUAGGAUAAUGCAAUUGAAAUAAAGUACGGUACAAUAAAUUUAAAAAAUCAAUGAAAUAAAAAAAAAUAGAACUUAAUAAAAUAAAUAAGAAAAAGAAAUUUACAUAGUGAAGAGCAACGAAACAAAGAGAUAACAGAAAAGCACGAGAAAGAAACAAAGAAGAUUAAAAUAAAACAGAGAAAGAGAGGAAUUUCCGCGUAAAUAAACCGCGUAAAAUGUGCGCAGAUUGAUAUUUCGCCGCGAUAAUGUCGUCGUUGAUUAAACGAAGCGUGAAUCCCAUAUCACGCGUGCGUCGACGAUGACGGGACGAUUUUAAUUGGCUGUCAGCCGCGCGCGAUAGGUCGAUAGAUAGUAGCUUUGGCGUUCUAAAGACUACAUAAUAUGUACAAGACGAUUAUACGCAUACGCGCGUACACGUUUGAGCAUAACGUGGAAGAUAUAGUUGGGCUCUCGUCGCGGUUACAUAUCGGUCGUCUCGUCCGCUUAUUUCGGCCACGCUGAUCUCUGUCAUCGAGAGCGGCCGUCCUCCCGGGCCAGCUGGCAAUGGGCCCGCGCAGCCCCGUUUCACCCUUUUCCGCCACGCGCGAUGACGCAAUCCGGUGCACGUGGAGCGAGCAUUUUAUUUUCGUAGCGAUCGCACGUCCUCGCCACGCGCCGCGCUGCGCCGCGCCGGUCGGCAGCUGUUCGGCGGGAAAGCGUGCGUAUGGGGGAGAAAAAAAACGCACGCGGAAUCCUCUCGAAUUUAGCUCCGAUAAAGAUCGAGAUCCGUUCGAGCGAAUGCUCGAAAUAAAUACACAGAAGUUUCACUGUUGACUCCGAAGUUUAAUAACUUCUCCGCGUAUCUCCUCGCCUUGAAGUACAAGCGAGUCUAACUUUGCGAAAUUCCGACGUAUCUCUGGGAAAAAUAGUUUUCCCGAAAUACGGUUAUAAAAAACGAUUAUAACCCAUUUCGGGGUUCAUAAUUAAAUAAUCAAAUUAUUUGGAUAAGUAAAAAUUAUAUUUGCGUAAUUGGAUAUCAACUAUAUAAUUGCCUUUAAAUAUUUUUAGAAUUAGAAAAAAUCGAUUUCUCACGCGAAUAUGGUAAUUACAGUGCUGGUAUUUCUAAGAUCACGUUUUGAUCCAAUUACCAUGAUAUUCUUACCCUGUCACCUUAUGUAAACUAAAUAACGUAUUACUGUCUCAUUUCAUUGUUCAAUUGAGCAGACAUUGAUUAAAAAAUAGAAAAUGUACAAAUCUCCUAGCAACCGCUAAGUAAUGUCAAUCAUAAUUUAACCGAAGAAAAGAAAUCCCGGAGCAAAUGUCUAUUUUAGUAGAUGUUCGAUGCAUUUUGCAUCAGUCAACUGUUACGAGACGCGGCGGCGGAAGGGAUUGAAAAACUGCGGCAAAAAGAGAAAGGAUUUGCAUGCAAAUCGGUCCGCGCGUCUUUCUCGCGCCGAUUCAAUGGUAUCUCGGUACACGUUUUUCAUUCCCCAAGCGAUUCGCGAUUUAUGUCGCACGGGGGACGCGUCCCUUCCACAUCCUCCGGCAAUAGCGAAUAGAGAUAAGCUUUCGCUCAUCGCCACCUGAUCGUCAUUCGCGGAGAUACCCGCGGUAACGCCGGUAGCGUCCGUGAUUUAUGCCCCUAAACAAGUAGCACGUGUAUCCGGACGUGAAUUUAUAUUUAUAGGACGACGGAGCGCGUGAACGUGGCACUCGCGCGGCUUCGCGUGCGAGUACCUCGUCUACGAAGACAAUCGAUUUGCAUUUAACAACGGAGGGGAGAAGAGGAGCAGGGAGAGAGGAAGGAAGACGUCUGAAGUGGCUGGCCUCUUCGCGAAAUGCUAAUUUCAUUGUCCCGAGACGAGACUCUACAAGCAAGUCGAUAUACUGAAAGAAAGGCCAUACUUUGGAUGCAAAGAUACUAAAAAUGGCAACUCCCUAGGGCUAGUUCACCUUGUAAGUGUCUCGGUACUCGAACAUCUUGUUUGCUCAAGUGGCUACUACUCGCCUCUUUAUCGUCGAUUAUUCAGGAUCUUAUUCUCUUGUAAGUAUAUCAGUCUCGACAAACUGCUUGUCAAUAAAUAUAUAUAUCAUCACUAGGUACCUCAUUAUUGCCAUACUGUUUAUUUGCUGAAUUAUCGUUUAUUACGUCAUUUUGCGACGCUAAAACUAAGCAAAGGUCAAUCCCGUGAAAAUGAUAAAAAUACCGAUUACUAAUGACGUUGUUACAUAGGUAUUCUUAAAAUAACUUGGAAAAUUGCCUGUCAUCGGAUAGACGACUUUUGAGAAGAGUAAAAAUGACUUUAGUUCUAUAAUGGACCGAAUCUCUGGGAAUAUACAUUUAGUGUGGCGAGACUCUCGAACUGACUGCGGAUAAAGUUUCUUUCCAAGUUUCUUUCAUUCAAACAACUAAAGUCCAGCACAUCGAAAAUAGCCCAUAACUACCUGACGCCGCCGUGGAAAAACAUCACGAGAAAACGAGCCGGAAUUAAAUCGAUAUUAAAGAUUAUUUCUUAUGGGAUACGCUUUCCCGUCGUACGUGUCGCUGCCCAGGCGAUCCGAAUUAAAAAGUUUGCUAGAAAGACUAUAGCGAGGAAGACCUGGGAAUUCUGCAGCUGGACAACAACGGAAUGAGGGAUACUUAGAUCUAUUCUUGACCAUCUCUCCGCGGUCGUGAGGCGAUUGCGUCGAGCGAGAGCUCGCAAUGUGCCGAGUAUCAUGCCCGUUUCACCAUGUCACUCCGGGCAAUUCGUGUCCCUUCUUGAAUAAAAUGUUAUUAACCACUUA
RNAcentral lists this long non-coding RNA (3555 nucleotides) under Monomorium pharaonis (pharaoh ant). RNAcentral's name for it is "uncharacterized LOC105829384". The record is from RNAcentral. Lineage: Eukaryota; Metazoa; Arthropoda; Insecta; Hymenoptera; Formicidae.